CAGUCGCCGCGGUAAUACGUAGGGUGCGAGCGUUAAUCGGAAUUACUGGGCGUAAAGCGUGCGCAGGCGGUUUCGUAAGACAGAGGUGAAAUCCCCGGGCUCAACCUGGGAACUGCCUUUGUGACUGCGAAGCUAGAGUACGGCAGAGGGGGGUGGAAUUCCACGUGUAGCAGUGAAAUGCGUAGAGAUGUGGAGGAACACCGAUGGCGAAGGCAGCCCCCUGGGCCGAUACUGACGCUCAUGCACGAAAGCGUGGGUAGCAAACAGGAUUAGAUACCCGCGUAGUCCCUGUCUCUUAUAC
Molecule: ribosomal RNA, 301 nt
Filed under: uncultured bacterium
Lineage: Bacteria
Description: partial 16S ribosomal RNA
Rfam family: Bacterial small subunit ribosomal RNA
Source: RNAcentral